CCUACGGGUGGCAGCAGUGAGGAAUAUUGGUCAAUGGGCGGAAGCCUGAACCAGCCAAGUCGCGUGAGGGAAUAAUGCCCUACGGGUCGUAAACCUCUUUUGCCGGGGAGCAAUGGCGGGGACGUGUCCCGGCCCGGAGAGUACCCGGAGAAAAAGAUUCGGCUAAUUCCGUGCCAGCAGCCGCGGUAAUACGAGGGAUCCGAGCGUUAUCCGGUUUUAUUGGGUUUAAGGGGUGCGUAGUCGGGCUUUUAAGUCAGCGGUAAAAAUUCGGGGCUCAACCCCGUCCGGCCGUUGAAACUGGGGGCCUUGAGUGGGCGAGAGGAAGGCGGAAUGCGUGGUGUAGCGGUGAAAUGCAUAGAUAUCACGCAGAACCCCGAUUGCGAAGGCAGCCUUCCGGCGCCCUACUGACGCUGAGGCACGAAAGUGCGGGUAUCGAACAGGAUUAGAUACCCUUGUAGUC
This 460-nucleotide ribosomal RNA is filed under the name uncultured bacterium. RNAcentral's name for it is "partial 16S ribosomal RNA". It matches the Rfam family "Bacterial small subunit ribosomal RNA", at positions 338 to 795 of the family's 1533-position model. The record is from RNAcentral.